RNAcentral lists this transfer RNA (73 nucleotides) under Stegodyphus mimosarum. It matches the Rfam family "tRNA". From Rfam's summary of the family: Transfer RNA (tRNA) molecules are approximately 80 nucleotides in length. Their secondary structure includes four short double-helical elements and three loops (D, anti-codon, and T loops). Lineage: Eukaryota; Metazoa; Arthropoda; Arachnida; Araneae; Eresidae. The record is from Rfam by way of RNAcentral.
GCCUUCGUAGUGUAGUGGUCAGUACAGUCGACGCAUAACCGAGAGGUUCGUGGUUAGAUUCCCGGCGAAGGCA